RNA transcript from Sapajus apella (tufted capuchin), 1912 nucleotides. It is a transcript of the gene named cyclin-G1 pseudogene, with no coding region annotated. Lineage: Eukaryota; Metazoa; Chordata; Mammalia; Primates; Cebidae. The transcript has a single exon. The record is from RefSeq and is a predicted model, not a curated record.
CCAACUGACUUGAUCUGAAUAAGUCAAUACAGGUUUACGGUGUCAGACUUGAUGAGGAUGGAAAAGAUUGUUUUGGAGAAAGUGUGUUGGAAAGUCAAAGCUACUACUGCCAUUCAAUUUCUGCAACUGUGUUAUUCACUCCUUCAAGAGAGCUUGCCAUUUGAAAGGAGAAAUAGCAUUAAUUUUAAAAGACUAGAAGCUCAACUUAAGGCAUGUCAUUGCAGGAUCGUAUUUCUAAAGCAAAGCCUUCUGUGUUGGCAUUGUCUAUCGCUGGAUUAGAGAUCCAAGCACAGAAGUGUGUACAGUUAACAGAAGGAGCGGAAUGCCUUCACAAACAUUCCAACAUAAAUUGCAGAGAUUUGACCUUCUGGCAAGAGUUUGUAUCCAAACGUUUAACUGAAUAUUCAUUAAACAAGUGUUCCAAACCAAAUAUUCAGAAGCUGAAAUGGAUUGUUUCUGGGCAUACUGCAUGGCAAUUGAAGCAUAGUUACUACAGAAUAACUCACCUUCCAACAAUUCCUGAAAUGGUUCCUUAAAUGGAUUAUUACAGCACCAAAAAACUUCUCUGAAGCCCUUCUCCACAAGUUUGUUCUAUAGAUUCCAUAAUAUUACAAUGGAUUUAAGCUAUGAAGCCUCAAAACAUCAUGAGAUAAGCAUGAUGGGCUCAGACUUCAGAAAACUGCCUAAUUAAUGUUACACUGUAGUGGAAUUAUGUUUAGAUUUGAAUUUGUCUGUGAAGCAUUCAAAUCGAAGCUAAAAGCCUAAAUAUGAAAUGCUAAUGACAAGCCUGAGAAGGUAAACUGUGAAUUUUCAUUUCUAUCAUUGAUCUAACUUAAGUAUUGGAUCAAUAUCUUUAGGUGGUAUUGAAAAUGGCAUCAGAAGAGCCAUACUAAUACCAUCAACUAUCGGUCUUCCCACAGCUUCAAUCACUCUCAUUAUCCUAAUCCUACUCUUACUUAAUUUAAAUAUUAAAUUUUAAGUUAUGAGGUUUACUUCAAAAGCAACAUUUCACAAAUGCGCUUUUAAGGCAUAAUAAGGGUUAACAUUCUAGGCAGUAUAAACACACCCCAUGAUGCAAGUAAUAGAUAAUCCAAAGAUGUGGACUUUAUUCCUAUAUAAGAAUUACAUUUAAAUUUGAGGGCAUUUUAUAUAAAGAAAAAUACAGACCUAGAAAGUUUGGCAUAUUCAUUAAGUUAUCUUCAAUAUUUUUUUCUAGAAAACAGGUGACAUUUGUAUCUAUAAUAAAAUUUUUAUACAGAACUUACUGCCUCAAACUGAAUCCCAUAAAAAAUUAGUUUCUGUUGUAUUAGUAACUCAGAAUGAAUUAUCACUUUGAAAAUUUGCUUUCCCACAGUAAGGUAAGUUCAGGCUAGAUUCAACACUCCAGAUGAUUUUUAACUAAAGACUAUUUUUAAAUUAGAAGUGAUGGCAGUUUUUUAAAAAGAGAAUAUACUUCCACUGAUGCCCUUACUGUGCUAAAACAAAGUCUUAAGAAAAGCAAGUAGAGACCCUCAUAACUAUGAAUGAGUCUGCUGAGGUAGUAUUUAAGAUUCUCCAUGUCAGUCAGUACAUGUAAGAAGUGCAAUGUUAAAGUGUUGUAAACAGUUACUCAGUGCACUGUAUAGCCUGAGUCCAUCCAGAAUUAGUUGUAACCAAUUGGCUGUAACCAAUUUGACAUCACGUAUGGAUCAAUACACAAUGAAAAACCAAAGAACCACUGUCUUAUCCUUAACUUUUAUAAACUAUGUUUUACGGGUAACUUUUUAGUUUUCCCAAAAGGCUGAUAAAUUUCAAUAUUUUGAAUAUGUCAUUGUUAAUUUUGAGUUGGCAGAAGUAAACUAACCAACUACCAUCAUGUUUUAGUACUAAGGGAUAUACCUUUCAAUAAAAUUACUGAAAUGCAAAAAAAAAA